This 466-nucleotide ribosomal RNA is filed under the name uncultured bacterium. RNAcentral describes it as "partial 16S ribosomal RNA". It matches the Rfam family "Bacterial small subunit ribosomal RNA", at positions 28 to 507 of the family's 1533-position model. The record is from RNAcentral.
GAUGAACGCUGGCGGCGUGCUUAACACAUGCAAGUCGAACGGAAAGGCUCCUGCUUGCAGGGGUACUCGAGUGGCGAACGGGUGAGUAACACGUGGGUGAUCUGCCCUGCACUUCGGGAUAAGCCUGGGAAACUGGGUCUAAUACCGGAUAGGACGAUGGUUUGGAUGCCAUUGUGGAAAGGUUUUUCGGUGUGGGAUGAGCUCGCGGCCUAUCAGCUUGUUGGUGGGGUAAUGGCCUACCAAGGCGUCGACGGGUAGCCGGCCUGAGAGGGUGUACGGCCACAUUGGGACUGAGAUACGGCCCAGACUCCUACGGGAGGCAGCAGUGGGGAAUAUUGCACAAUGGGCGCAAGCCUGAUGCAGCGACGCCGCGUGGGGGAUGACGGCCUUCGGGUUGUAAACUCCUUUCGCUAGGGACGAAGCGCAAGUGACGGUACCUGGAGAAGAAGCACCGGCUAACUACGUG